This 450-nucleotide ribosomal RNA is filed under the name uncultured bacterium. RNAcentral describes it as "partial 16S ribosomal RNA". It matches the Rfam family "Bacterial small subunit ribosomal RNA", at positions 354 to 796 of the family's 1533-position model. The record is from RNAcentral.
GUGGGGAAUAUUGGACAAUGGGCGAAAGCCUGAUCCAGCCAUGCCGCGUGUGUGAAGAAGGUCUUCGGAUUGUAAAGCACUUUAAGUUGGGAGGAAGGGUAGUAACCUAAUACGUUGCUACUUUGACGUUACCGACAGAAUAAGCACCGGCUAACUUCGUGCCAGCAGCCGCGGUAAUACGAAGGGUGCAAGCGUUAAUCGGAAUUACUGGUCGUAAAGCGCGCGUAGGUGGUUCAGUAAGUUGGAAGUGAAAUCCCCGGGCUCAACCUGGGAACUGCUUUCAAAACUGCUGAGCUAGAGUACAGUAGAGGGUGGUGGAAUUUCCUGUGUAGCGGUGAAAUGCGUAGAUAUAGGAAGGAACACCAGUGGCGAAGGCGACCACCUGGACUGAUACUGACACUGAGGUGCGAAAGCGUGGGGAGCAAACAGGAUUAGAUACCCGAGUAGUCC